UAAAGUCUAUAUACCUGUCUGAUCUCAGAAGCUAAGCAGAGUCGGGCCUGGUUAGUACUUGGAUGGGAGACCACCUAGGAAGACCAGAUGCUGUAA
RNAcentral lists this ribosomal RNA (96 nucleotides) under Pteropus alecto (black flying fox). Lineage: Eukaryota; Metazoa; Chordata; Mammalia; Chiroptera; Pteropodidae. The record is from RNAcentral.